RNAcentral lists this ribosomal RNA (909 nucleotides) under Anindobothrium anacolum. RNAcentral describes it as "16S ribosomal RNA". The stretch from base 590 to 867 matches the Rfam family "Bacterial large subunit ribosomal RNA", at positions 2074 to 2646 of the family's 2925-position model. The record is from RNAcentral. Lineage: Eukaryota; Metazoa; Platyhelminthes; Cestoda; Phyllobothriidea; Phyllobothriidae.
GGUUUAUAGGCUUUAUUUUUUAUUUAUUAAUCGGUUAUUGUGCCUUUUGCAUCAUGCUUGAAUGAUAUGAUUGAGUAAUUUUCUAUGAUCGAAAUGUAUAGAUCUUUGAUGUUAUUUAACUAUCUGGGUAAGAUUAGGGUUUUGUUGGAAAUUGCGUCAGUGUUGUGAUAAAUUAUUCGGUAUACAUUAUAACUAUUUAACAGCUUUGAUUUUAUAUUAUCUUAGUGGCUAAGAGGUUAUUAAGAGUUAUAUAUUUUAAUUGAUAGUUUUUUAAAUAGGGUUAAAAUUACCCCCUUAUAGAAUAAGUGUUAAAAUUUUUUGUAUCUUUUUUUAAAUAAGUAAUAUUUAGUAGUUUUCAUUGUUUCUCAAUCUUUGCCCGUCUGUUUAUUAAAAACAUUUCUAUAUUUUAUUUUUUAUAGUAGUGCCUGCUCUAUGUGUUUAUAAAUGGCCGCAGUAUCUUGACUGUGCGAAGGUAGCAUAAUUAAUUGCCUUAUAAUUGAGGGCUUGUUUGAAUGGUUUGACGAGGUAGCAGUUAACAUUGAAGUUUUUGUUGAAAUUAGUGUGGAGGGCACAGAAACCUCCUUUUUUUAAUUAGACGGAAAGACCCCGGGAUCUUUAUAUUUUGUCUGGGGCAGAUUUAAAUUUUUUAUUAUUAUUAAGACCCUAAUGGUUUAUUGGUGUAAGUUACCCCGGGGAUAACAGUAUAAUAAUUUAAUAGAGAUCAUAUCGAUUAAGUUGUUUGUCACCUCGAUGUUGACUUAGGUUUAAGGUUAUGGCGCAGUAGUUUUAACCGUUGGUCUGUUCGACCGUUAAUUCCUCCAUGAGUUGAGUUAAGACCGGCGUGAGCCAGGUCGGUUCUUAUCUAUUUUUCUGAUGUAUUAGUACGAAAGGAUUGUACAUUGUUUUAUU